RNAcentral lists this ribosomal RNA (441 nucleotides) under uncultured bacterium. RNAcentral describes it as "partial 16S ribosomal RNA". It matches the Rfam family "Bacterial small subunit ribosomal RNA", at positions 338 to 795 of the family's 1533-position model. The record is from RNAcentral.
CCUACGGGUGGCAGCAGUGGGGAAUAUUGCACAAUGGGGGAAACCCUGAUGCAGCGACGCCGCGUGAGUGAAGAAGUAUUUCGGUAUGUAAAGCUCUAUCAGCAGGGAAGAAGAAAGACGGUACUUUAACAAGAAGCCCCGGCUAACUACGUGCCAGGAGCCGCGGUAAGACGCAGGGAGCCAGCGUUAUCCGGAUUUACUGGGGUUAAAGGGAGAGUAGGCGGCUGGGCAAGUCUGAAGUGAAAGCCCAGGGCUCAACCCUGGGACUGCUUUUGAAACUGGGGAGCUAGAGUGCUGGAGAGGUAAGUGGAAUUCCUGGUGUAGCGGUGAAAUGCGUAGAUAUUAGGAGGAACACCAGUGGCGAAGGCGGCUUACUGGACAGUAACUGACGUUGAGGCUCGAAAGCGUGGGGAGCAAACAGGAUUAGAUACCCUUGUAGUC